This 407-nucleotide ribosomal RNA is filed under the name uncultured bacterium. Its description in RNAcentral is "partial 16S ribosomal RNA". It matches the Rfam family "Bacterial small subunit ribosomal RNA", at positions 28 to 526 of the family's 1533-position model. The record is from RNAcentral.
GACGAACGCUGGCGGCGUGCCUAAUACAUGCAAGUAGAACGCAGUUGCGCACGGGUGAGUAACGCGUAGGUAACUGCCUCAUAGCGGGGUAUAACUAUUGGAAACGAUAGCUCAUCCCGCAUACUGUGAGAUGGACCUGCGUUGUAUUAGCUAGUUGGUUAGGUAAAGGCUCACCAAUGCGACGAUACAUAGCCGAACUGAGAGGGGGAUCGGCCACAAUGUGAGUGAGACCAGUCCCAGACGCAUACGGGAGGCAGCAGUAGGGAAUAUUCGGCAAUGGACGGAAGUCUGACCGGGCAACGCCGCGUGAGUGAAGAAGGUUUUCGGAACGUAAAGCUCUGUUGUUAGAGAAGCGGUAACUAACAAGAAAGGGACGGCUAACUACGUGCCAGCAGCCGCGGUAAUUC